RNAcentral lists this ribosomal RNA (207 nucleotides) under uncultured bacterium. RNAcentral's name for it is "partial 16S ribosomal RNA". It matches the Rfam family "Bacterial small subunit ribosomal RNA", at positions 568 to 774 of the family's 1533-position model. The record is from RNAcentral.
UCCGUAGGCGGCCAUAUAAGUGUGAGGUGAAAUCCACUAGCUCAACUAGUGAAUUGCCUUUCAAACUGUAUGGCUCGAGGUUGGAAGAGGAGAGCGGAACUGCCAGUGUAAGGGUGAAAUCUGUGGAUAUUGGCAGGAACGUCCGUGACGAAGGUGGCUCUCUGGUCCAAAUCUGACGCUGAGGGACGAAAGCUAGGGAAGCAAACA